GGAUAAGCCUAGCGCUAAGGCUCAAUAGGAUGGCCAGUAGCAAUAUUGGUCGUCUUUAACCGAAGAGGCUAUUGAGCGGUGCAGCGUUACAAACCGCGAUGUUUAGUGGUGCCAUUGGUAGUAUUUGGGUAACCAAAUGCUACUCCUAGCUUAGCAUGCAAGUUCCAUUGACUUGGACUAAUUGCAAAUGACUACAAGCUUGGGGYAACUUGGGCAUGUAGUUGAGCCAGAGCGGGUGUAAGCCCCAUACCGUGCAAGCAUUGGUAACACGAAUCGUGGACGUGGGCCCCUAAGUGGACCCACGAAUUUGUUAGAGUCGAGUUGCUUGAGAGUGCAACUUAAAGUGCGAGGUAAACUACUCGUAAGGCUAUUUGAAAAUACGGCUACGACACCGAUAGCAAACAAGUACCGUGAGGGAAAGUUGAAAUAGAACUUUGCAGAGAGAGUUAACAGGGCGUGAAACCGUUAAUUGGCAAACGAAUCGGAGCCACGAAGUCGUUUCGUAGUUAGUUGGGGCCAAGUUCAGCUUGCAAUCCGUUUGCUGGUGUAUUCUUGUGCCUAACCAAACUUUGUAAGCGUACACUGCAACCAGUUAGACGAUUGGCUAUGGGCCUAGUUGCUUGAUUUUGGGGGUUAAACCUUAAAAUUUAGGUAACGAAGUAUUUGUUUACCCAAGUUAGUAGUAGUGAGGUGUAUACUCUCGGGUGUGCACUCUUGUUGCUGGACUUUGUGGUAAGUGAGCUAUGGCCAAAUACUGACUGGCACAAUGAAAAUCGCCCUCUUUGGGUGUAUUAAACAAUGCAAUUAGUUAUAUUAAUGCCCACAUUAUUAAAUCACUGGGUCUAAGCUCAGCACUUUUGAAUUCAGACUUGCUUGCUGUUAGUGGGGCAACUCCUGGCGCUUGUAUAGUUUCUGUCUAAUCAGGUGUUGACUUGGCUUAGUUGGCUUUGAUAUGCUACGAUAGGGUGUAAAUAUAAACUAAUUUGCUAGAAUUGGCAGUGAGUAGGUCGGCUUUCCGAACGACCCGUCUUGAAACACGGACCAAGGAGUCUAGUUAGGCAUCAAGUCGAUCGGUCUUGAAUAGGCCAGACUAAGGUAUACUUGUUAUAUCUUGAUUGAAGGCGAAGAGAAAUCAAAUCAUGUGAUCAUGGGGGCAACAACAGCCUACAUGCGCAACAUGUGCCUGUUCGUAUAACAAUGUUAGUGCAAACUAACUUGUUGAGCGGAGUAAAGAGGUGCCUGAUUGGGACCCGAAAGAUGGUGAACUAUGCUUGGGCAAAUUGAAGCCAGAGGAAACUCUGGUGGAGGAUUGUAGCGAUUCUGACGUGCAAAUCGAUCGUCAGACCUGAGUAUAGGGGCGAAAGACUAAUCGAACCAUCUAGUAGCUGGUUCCCUCCGAAGUUUCCCUCAGGAUAGCUAGCGCUCGUUGAAAAAUAGUUUCAUCCGGUAAAGCUAAUGAUUAGAGGAAUUGGGAGCGAAACGCUCUCAACCUAUUCUCAAACUUUAAAUGGGUGAGAUGUGCGACAUGCUUAAUUGAUGCCGCAUUUUCAUAGAAUAUAUUGGGCGCUAAGUGGGCCAUUUUUGGUAAGCAGAACUGGCGAUGCGGGAUGAACCGAAAGCAAAGUUAAAGUUGCCGAUAAUAGUAACGAAAACAAAUAGUUACUUGCUACACUCAUGAGAUCCCAUAAAAGGUGUGACCC
Molecule: ribosomal RNA, 1700 nt
Filed under: Aberoptus sp.
Lineage: Eukaryota; Metazoa; Arthropoda; Arachnida; Trombidiformes; Eriophyidae
Description: partial large subunit ribosomal RNA
Source: RNAcentral